AUAAAGAGAAGUAAUUAAGGGCGUAUGGUGGAUGCCUAGGCUCUCAGAGGCGAAGAAGGACGUGACAAGCUGCGAUAAGUCAUGGAGAGGUGCAAAUAACCUUUGAUCCGUGAAUUUCCGAAUGGGGCAACCCGGUAUACUGAAGGUAUAUCAUUCCGCAAGGAAAGCUAACCCGGAGAACUGAAACAUCUAAGUACCCGGAGGAAAAGAAAACAAAAGUGAUUCCCCUAGUAGUGGCGAUCGAACGGGGAUUAGCCCAAACCAAUAUUGUUUCGGCAAUGUUGGGGUUGUAGGACUACAAUAUAAUUUAUAAAAAAGAAGUGGAACAUUCUGGAAAGUUUGAUCAAAGAGGGUGAUAAUCCCGUACACGUAAUUUGUUAUAAGUUUAGUAGUAUCCUGAGUAUGGCGGGACACGUGAAAUCCUGUCUGAAUCUGCCGGGACCAUCCGGUAAGGCUAAAUACUCCUGAGAGACCGAUAGUGAACUAGUACCGUGAGGGAAAGGUGAAAAGCACCCUGAACAAGGGAGUGAAAUAGUACCUGAAACCAUACGCUUACAAGCGGUCGGAGCGGAUUUAUCCGUGACGGCGUGCCUUUUGCAUAAUGAGCCUACGAGUUACUCCUCUCUAGCAAGGUUAAGGACUUCAGGUCCGUAGCCGAAGCGAAAGCAAGUCUUAAUAGGGCGUUUUAGUUAGAGGGGGUAGACGCGAAACUUGGUGAUCUACCCAUGGCCAGGUUGAAGCGACGGUAAAACGUCGUGGAGGACCGAACCAGUACACGUUGAAAAGUGUUUGGAUGAGCUGUGGGUGGGGGUGAAAGGCCAAUCAAACUGAGAAAUAGCUCGUACUCCCCGAAAUGCAUUUAGGUGCAGCCUCGAGUAUAAGUGUCAUAGAGGUAGAGCUACUGAUAAGGCUAGAGGGCUUCGCCGCCUAUCAACCCUUGAUAAACUCCGAAUGCUAUGACAUGUUCCUCGGGAGUGAGGCGUUGGGUGCUAAGGUCCAGCGCCGAGAGGGAAAGAACCCAGACCAUCAGCUAAGGUCCCCAAAUGUAUGCUAAGUUGUUCUAACGAAGUGUGAUUGCUUUGACAGCUAGGAUGUUGGCUUGGAAGCAGCCAUUCAUUUAAAGAGUGCGUAACAGCUCACUAGUCGAGCGAUCGUGCAUGGAUGAUAAUCGGGCAUAAGUAUACUACCGAAGCUAUGGAAUAGAAAUAUUGGUAGGGGAGCAUUCUAAUUGCGCCGAAGCAGUAUCGUAAGGUAUUGUGGAGCGAUUAGAAAAGAAAAUGUAGGCAUAAGUAACGAUAAAGCGGGUGAGAAACCCGCUCACCGAUAGACUAAGGUUUCCUGAUCAACGCUAAUCGGAUCAGGGUUAGUCGGGACCUAAGGCGAACCCGAAAGGGGUAGUCGAUGGAUAACAGGUCAAAAUUCCUGUACUAGCAAAUAUUGCGAUGGAGAGACGAAAAAGUGAAAGGACUGCGUACUGACGGAAUAGUACGUUAAAGAGUGUAGGUUUUGGAUUUGGUUAAUAGCUAGAUCUAGCUGAACUUGAUAGUACCGUGAGUCUUCGGACGAGCGGAUAAUGUCCCUAAACCGGUUUCCUAGAAAAUCUUCUAAGCUUCAGAUAUUUGCUACCCGUACCGCAAACCGACACAGGUAGUCAAGGAGAGAAUCCUAAGGUGCUCGAGUGAAUCAUGGCUAAGGAACUCGGCAAAAUGGUCCUGUAACUUCGGGAGAAAGGACGCCCCGAGCAAUCGGGGCCGCAGUGAAUAGGCCCAGGCGACUGUUUAUCAAAAACACAGGGCUUUGCCAAAUCGAAAGAUGAUGUAUAAGGCCUGACACCUGCCCGGUGCUGGAAGGUUAAGAGGGGGAGUUAUUCUUCGGAAGAAGCUCUGAAUUGAAGCCCCAGUAAACGGCGGCCGUAACUAUAACGGUCCUAAGGUAGCGAAAUUCCUUGUCGGGUAAGUUCCGACCUGCACGAAUGGUGUAACGAUCUGGGCACUGUCU
Molecule: ribosomal RNA, 1998 nt
Filed under: Marinilabiliales bacterium
Lineage: Bacteria; Pseudomonadati; Bacteroidota; Bacteroidia; Marinilabiliales
Description: bacterial LSU rRNA
Rfam family: Bacterial large subunit ribosomal RNA
Source: RNAcentral